This 23-nucleotide non-coding RNA is filed under the name Bombyx mori (domestic silkworm). RNAcentral also lists the same sequence under 5 other names. The record is from RNAcentral. Lineage: Eukaryota; Metazoa; Arthropoda; Insecta; Lepidoptera; Bombycidae.
AUUGGAACGAUACAGAGAAGAUU